This 2184-nucleotide long non-coding RNA is filed under the name Homo sapiens (human). RNAcentral's name for it is "family with sequence similarity 218 member A (FAM218A)". The record is from RNAcentral. Lineage: Eukaryota; Metazoa; Chordata; Mammalia; Primates; Hominidae.
GCUUCGACUUCCGGGUGAGACCGUGAAGGUGUGGCGCGACGUUGGAGACCGGGGCAGCGCCAUGUACCACAGUGGAUGGAAGGAUGCGCGGUGCGGCGGGGCAGCUGUCCUCUUCUCCCCGGACCCAGCGCCUGGAGAGCCAGCCCUGCAGGGUGGGCUGGGCGAGCCAAACUGCGUUCCUGGUGCAGGGCUUCGGGUCUCCCUAACAGACCUUAUACGCUGACCGGCGGCCGCCAUGGCAGUGUCUCUUUGCUCAGACAUCCAGGGACGACCACAUUCGUCCAACAGCGGUCGCUCCACCAAUCCUGGGAGAAGCGAAUCGUUUUCUCCGCGUGCCCUGUCAGCCGCUCAUGGUGCCCAGAGAGGAAUUUUAGUGGCAGCAUUCCGGCUGUCACGCCACCGAAAUUGCCAGGCCACUCCAAGUCAGAAGGACCACCAGGAAAAGUCAGGAAGAGAACCACCAUCAGGUCCCAGCCUCUUUUUGUGACAAGGACUAGAGGGUUUGGGUCUGCAGUGGGCUGGCUCCCGCUGGGCUCACCUGUCCUAUAGAGCAGGCUGCCUCAAGGAAGAAGCUCACAGGGGACAUCUGACAUCUGAAACAGCAAGUGUAAAAUGCUUUAAAUAAGCCAAAACUAAACCAAUCGUUAUGUUAACUAAAAAUACAUGAAUGCUACCGAAGAUAGUCGAAUAUUAGAGGAAGAGAUUAAACUCUGAUUUUGAGCACUUUGUGCUUUAUUCGGAAAAUGAAUAAGAUGCAGUUCUGAAAACCUGAAAAUAUAAAGAAUAGGAUAUGAUACGCACACUAGAUGAAAACAAAACUUUCAGACCAUAUUUUCUUAUUUAAAGCUCUAAUAAGUGAGAUAGCAGAGUAAACUAUUCACUCAAAUAAUUAGUAACUGAUAUAAGGGUAUGUAUCAAUAACAGGUAUUAAGACAAAAACUUUAUGAGCUUUUCCAUUUUAACAAGGGAUGAUGAUUCUAGACUUCUGCCACAACAUUAUGGUCGACAAAACAUUCUUAAUUCAUUUUACAUAGAUCUGACUCUAGAUUCUGAAACAGCAAGUCAUAAUCUUGUAUCUCUAAAGAUAGAAUACAGUGCGAUUUGGAAAGACACCACAAAAACUCAUGAUCCAAAAAAGAUUAAGGCUGUUAUUACCAGGAGGAAGAGAAAGAGGACAAAAUCAAACUGGAUAGAUAUAAUAGAGUUGUUUGUUAGAAUUGUCUUCCCAGGAGAUGGAAAAAGACGCCAUCACAAUAGGAUUCAUGCUUUAGUUUUCAGCUAUAGAAAUGUAAUAACUUUGCCAAAGUAAUUACACUACAUAGAGUGGCAAUCGUUCUAUUAAAAGUAAGACCCAGUAAUGUUAGGAUUUGUUCUGGACAAUGAAGGGGAUGAGGUUUAAUCUUAUGACUUGAAUGCCAGGUCUGAAAUCUUUUCUUCAAGUGAUAUUUUUAUGAAACUACUUAGGCUGUGUUUCACACUGGGUAUGAUUUCUAACCUCUUAUAACCUGUACAGUAAUAGAUUAUGAAGGAUGAAUUAUUUGAAAGCUAUUUUGUAUUAUUUAGGAGAGGAGCUCUUCAAUUCUGAAUUGUCUGCCACUUACAAGCAGAAGAAAGUUUUUUUCUUUCAUUAUUUUAGCAACUAUCAAUAAAACAGUAUUAGAAAUGCCUACUCUUCAGAGAUGUAAUGGGAAUAAAUUGUAAAGUACUUUUGAUAUUCUAAGAUGAAAGAUGGUAUUACACAGUCAAUAAUUCAAUGCUUCCCACAUUAUGAAUUUUAUCAAAAUUAUGUAGAGAGCUAUUAGUUCAUUCCAGCAACAAAACAGGCUUAUAUAAAAACAAAAACCUCCUGGGUCAUGCCAUCCUACACCAAAUUCCUGUUAAACAGAGGCAUGAUUUAUUCCAGUGACCUUGCUAUUUCUUCAUAACUGUAAUAUGUCUAAUGUUAGACAUUUUAAAUUAACAUUCUAUUAGAUAAACUGAGAAUUUAGGUCUCUCGCACCACCCAGGCACAUACUCUAUCUUUCCCCACAAAUAUCCAAAUAUGGUAAUAUAAUUGGAUUAAUACGUUCAUAUGACUAUAUAAUUGUUCACAGCUGAGCCACUUAGGUGCUAUAAUUAUAAUUUCUUUGAUACACAAAUUUUGUUUUAUUGUGAUUAAAAUUGCCUGAUUUCUUACUUGCUGCA